CUACGUGCCAGCAGCCGCGGUAAUACGUAGGUCCCGAGCGUUAUCCGGAUUUAUUGGGCGUAAAGCGAGCGCAGGCGGUUAGAUAAGUCUGAAGUUAAAGGCUGUGGCUUAACCAUAGUACGCUUUGGAAACUGUUUAACUUGAGUGCAGAAGGGGAGAGUGGAAUUCCAUGUGUAGCGGUGAAAUGCGUAGAUAUAUGGAGGAACACCGGUGGCGAAAGCGGCUCUCUGGCUUGUAACUGACGCUGAGGCUCGAAAGCGUGGGGAGCAAACAGGAUUAGAUACCCUGGUAGUCCACGCUGUAAACGAUGUCGAUUUGGGGGUUGAGCUUUAAGUUUGGCGCCCGUAGCUAACGUGAUAAAUCGACCGCCUGGGGAGUACGGCCGCAAGGUUAAAACUCAAAUGAAUUGACGGGGGCCCGCACAAGCGGUGGAGCAUGUGGUUUAAUUCGAUGCAACGCGAAGAACCUUACCUACUCUUGACAUCCAGAGAACAUUC
RNAcentral lists this ribosomal RNA (497 nucleotides) under uncultured bacterium. RNAcentral describes it as "bacterial SSU rRNA". It matches the Rfam family "Bacterial small subunit ribosomal RNA", at positions 501 to 1000 of the family's 1533-position model. The record is from RNAcentral.